CCUACGGGUGGCUGCAGUGGGGAAUAUUGGACAAUGGGGGGAACCCUGAUCCAGCCAUGCCGCGUGUGUGAAGAAGGCCCUCGGGUUGUAAAGCACUUUCAGUGAGGAAGAACGCCUGGUGGUUAAUACCCAUCAGGAAAGACGUCACUCACAGAAGAAGCACCGGCUAACUCCGUGCCAGCAGCCGCGGUAAUACGGAGGGUGCGAGCGUUAAUCGGAAUUACUGGGCGUAAAGCGCGCGUAGGUGGCUUGAUAAGCCGGUUGUGAAAGCCCCGGGCUCAACCUGGGAACGGCAUCCGGAACUGUCAAGCUAGAGUGCAGGAGAGGAAGGUAGAAUUCCCGGUGUAGCGGUGAAAUGCGUAGAGAUCGGGAGGAAUACCAGUGGCGAAGGCGGCCUUCUGGACUGACACUGACACUGAGGUGCGAAAGCGUGGGUAGCAAACAGGAUUAGAUACCCCUGUAGUC
RNAcentral lists this ribosomal RNA (465 nucleotides) under Vreelandella stevensii. RNAcentral describes it as "partial 16S ribosomal RNA". It matches the Rfam family "Bacterial small subunit ribosomal RNA", at positions 338 to 795 of the family's 1533-position model. The record is from RNAcentral. Lineage: Bacteria; Pseudomonadati; Pseudomonadota; Gammaproteobacteria; Oceanospirillales; Halomonadaceae.